UGAAGUAAUAAAUAACAUGAGUGAAGAGGAAGAUGAGGAUGAAUCUGAGGGUGAUGAUGCAGAAAAAUCUGAAGGAGAGAGUGAUGCAGAAAAGCCUGAAGGUGAUGAUGAUGCAGAAAAGUCUGAUGGUGCUGACAGUGAUUCUUGAUUUACAAUUCAAGUCGAGUUUGCUACCAAUGCAAGCUUUGUUAAUUGUUCUGAUUUGCAUGUUAUCCUCUGUAAAGACAUGUAAGUGAGAAGUUAUACUGUUAGCUGCAAGGUAUACAGACGGUGGCCUCAAUAGGAUAGUUGUAAGAUAGACAUUUCCGUGUUAUAGCUAAUCUGUAGAUGUAACCUUAGAAUUUCCUUAUCCCCAUCUCUUGCUGAUAGUCCGGGGUUUUGAGCUUCUUGUACUUUUUAUUUUUUUU
This 407-nucleotide unclassified non-coding RNA is filed under the name Hevea brasiliensis (rubber tree). Lineage: Eukaryota; Viridiplantae; Streptophyta; Magnoliopsida; Malpighiales; Euphorbiaceae. The record is from RNAcentral.